UUGGAAUUACUUCUAGUGUGGCGCUUGUGUGAAACUGUCUCUGCUGCACUUGUAGGCUUGCUGUCAUGUGUCGAAUGAUCUAAUUGUUGGUUUUGAGGUGAAUGUUUAUUUGUCGUAGAUGAUUCUUGCUUCUUCCCUUUCUCAGGUUCUACUUUGUCCACAUUCGUUUCCUGCUGAAGCAGAUUCUUUUGUUUAUUUUCCGUGAAUGAUUCUUGCUUCUUCCCUUUCUCAGAUUCAGCUUUGUCCACAUUCGUUUCCUGCUGAACCGGAUUCUUAUGUUUAUUUGCGGUAGAUGAUUCUUGCUUCUUCCCUUUCUCAGAUUCCGCUUUGUCCACAUCCAUUUCCUGCUGAACCGGAUUCCUAUGUCUAUUUGCCAUAGAUGAUUCUUGCUUCUUCCCUUUCUCACCUUCCGCUUUGUCGACUUUCAUUUCCUUCUGCAGCAGAUUCUUGGUUCAGAGAAUUUCGUUUAAAACAAAUUCUCACAUAGCCAUGAGAUGUGAAUUUAAGAUAAAAGCAAAGCAGCCUAAGACUCCAUUAGGAUUAUUCAAAACGCCACACAUCAAUAUGUAACUACCAUUUAGGAAUAUGCACCGACAGAGCAGUGGCUUAAUCACUCACCAUUUGAACAUUUAUUGGAUUUUCUUCACAUGACUUUCAGGAAAGCUGAAUUUGCUAGCUAGUACUAUUUCCAUGCUAACAAAUUAAACGUACAAAAUUCCAAUAAGUAGGUAGAGGUUUGGAUUUCAAAGAAAAUGAAGUGAAUUCAUCAAAGUAAAACAAUAGAAACAAAUUCUUAUUCUAGGAAACAUCAUUUUGCCUCAAAUGUAUUUGAGUUUACCUUGCUUCUUGACCUCAUAGGAGCUUCAGCACCCUUUGUCUUAUCCUUCCUGUAUUAAGAGUAAACAAGCAUGUCUAUAUGGUUACCAAGUUCAUAAAGAGAUGAGAAUGGAGGAAUUGAGAAGGAAUAUAUAAAUAAACAUCUAAAGAGGAUUAUUGGCGAGUUAACAGUUGCCUAACAACUCCAGAUGUAUUUUACAAUUCCAAUCACUACAAGGAUGAUAUGUAUUCCACUCCAAAGAGACAAAUCAAAGAAAUGUUAUGUAACACAUAUCCACAAAAUAUGACAUUGCGACAGAACCAACUUAAAGCUUACAUUUUUGUUUGAUGAUUUGGUUCACGUUGAGUGCAUGAGUCACUCAUGGAAACAGACUUUUGCUCAGGCUGUUGAUUAAGCUGUGUCCCCAGCUCAUUAACCCUUUUGUUCAAAUUUCUUACGUCUGCCUCUGACCGAGCUAUGUCCUUGAGAUCUUCUUUUGUCUUUAUAAUAUCGGCAAGUUAAAAUUUGAUGCAAAUAAAGAUUAGGCACACUAGUUAAAUCUGAGGUAGGCCAUAGACUACCUUUUCGUCAAUCUUCUCUGGGAGAGAUGUGGGUCCUUGAGAUGGGUUAAGUCCUGCUUCCAGAGCUGUCCUCUUUUCUCUCGCCCUUUGAAGCUCUUCCUCUAACCUUGCAACCUAUAAGUACAACCAGGAGCAACAAUCAAGGAGGGGUCAUUCACAUAAAACUAGCACAGCACUUGCGAAAAAAUAUAUAUAAAAUUCCAUACAUUACCAAAUCAAAAUAAAAAGAUUUUUCAACAAAACAAAUGAAUGCUUCCAGGUUCCAGCAAAUAUAUAAUUGUCCAUUAUAGAUUUAUUUUCAUGCAUCUACCUACUGCUGAUAUUGAGUCCUCACCUCUUUCUGCUAGCAAAUAUAUAAUUGUCCAUUAUAAUAUUAACAACAAAUUUACACAAGAUUUUUGUCCUUCAAAAAGGAGUGUUUGCAUUAGUAAAAUGAACCGACACAAACAAUGAAGCACCUAAAUGCUUUUAAUGCUCCUAAUUAUGACUUGUUUUAGCUAAGCCAUGUUGAUAUUCAAGACAAAAGAAAGAAAUGCAAAAGCAGAUCUCUAAUAACUUUUUUAAAAAUGUUUCAGCAGAAAAGGUUGCCUUUAACGUAUAUGUUUUCUUAGGAUCACAAUAUGCAUGUUUGUUACCAACAGAUAUGCAACCUAACACAAUGCAUGAAACAGAAAACACAGCACAGAAGGAAACAAAGAUCUCCUGACAAACAUACCUCCUUCUCAAGAGCUAGACGUUGCUCAUGCAGUGCCUUCUUUCGUUUCUCCAAGUUGGCUUCAAGAAUGGUAUUACUUUCAAUCUAUAUAAGAAAGAUGACUUGAUAUGAAAUGUCUCAAAAACUUGCUGCAAUAACAGUAACUAGAAAGGAUGGACAAAGCAGAACCUCUUCUGUGAGUCUCUUUUGCAAGUCCAAUUUUUCAGCCUCAAGUGACUCAACCGCAGCCCUAAGAUUGGGUCAAAAUCAGGUAAGUAGAAAAGAAAAUAGAGGUAUUCUUAAAAAGAUACAAAGGUCAGACUGCAUUAUUUUUUCUUUUCCACUUUUGGCUUCAAAAAUCAGUUAUGCAAAGGGUAAAUUGCUUCACCCUAAGCAUGAAAGAAGAUUUAGAUGUUGCUUGGAACUUUUAAUGGGUCUCUGAGUUAUUCAAGCAUAACCAGGAAAAUAAGUAGUAGCAGGCAAAUUGAUACAAGGUCUUUUUUCUAAAGAUCGUGGGAACAUCACUUACUCUUCUUCAAUUGGAUAAUCAAUGGAAUCCAUAGAUAGUUUCUUGCUUCCCUGGACAAACAAACACAAUAAAUUAAUUGAUAGUUACUACAAGAUUAUAAACACAUGGAUCAACUUAAGCAGUUAUAAUUUGUUUAAUGCUUGGAAAUACUUAAUCCAACAGAAAAGUCAAAAGAAUUAGCCCAAAAGCAGUAACACAUCAUCAACAAUAGAACAAACACUUACACUACUCCUCCACAUAGUUCCUUGCCUAACAUUGAGGCCAGGUCCAUUUCCAACAGCUGGGGGUUUUGAGGCGGAUGUGAUUGAAUUCUGACGAGUUGAUGUAUCCUCCAACUUGGUUACUCCAUGAACACCUUUUGACAGCUCAGCUGGCUUAUUGGUCUCAGUUUCUGAACUUUUACUAAUUCGGUUAUCUUCCUUCCUCUUUGACCCAUCAUUUGGAUGAAGUGGACUUGAUUUUUUCUUGGUGGCUUGGACAUAAUUACCAGAUUUAGAGGACUCAGAACUAGAGCUCGAAGAAUCAUAAUCCUGCAAAUUUAUUUUCUAUUCAUGUAAGUAUAGUGUCUCAUCUUUUAAUUACUGAUUUAUUGCACUUUCACCUUAUUUAAGUUAAAAGAAUCAAUACUCAAAAUCUGAAUUUGAGGGACCACCGAAAGUAAGAAGACAGCUACACGUUUCAAAUAAAAAAUAGCAAAAGGAAAAAAAAUCAUAAUUCCUAUAUGGGAGAAGGAUAGAGAACUAUAUACCAUCAGAUUCUAAUACAUAGUGCUGCAAAGAUAAUUUAGAACAUAAUCAUAUAGCAGUAAUUCAUGUUCAUAUCAUGAGUAUAAAUUCAAAGGCAUUAGGCAUGGAAACAAUCAGACAAUAGAAACCUUGAGUCACCAAAUGGUGACAAAUGAAGCAGAUAGACAAUCUACAAAAUCAUUAAAAAAAUGUAAUUUGAGAAUAUAAAUCUGGCUACCUACGAGCUCAGCACAUAUCUUGCACUAAACAGAGGUGAAUGUCUUAAUGAGAUCUGGAGAAGAGAGCUUUAAUAGUCCAAAAUUUUGUAUUAAGUUUGUUACUGCCAUCAUGUUUGAAGUUUACGAACAAGAUAUAAAACAUAAAUUCCUGUGUAAGAAAGUAGAGGAACAAACCUUAUCAUCACUUUUAACAGAAUGACCACCCUCGCUGCCUGUUCCACUUUCUGCAUAGUCAUCAUCCUCAUCAGACUCUUGUGAUUCGUCAUCACAUUCAUCGUCUUCAUAAUCUUCAUCAUCUUCAUCAGACUCAUCAUCAUCAGCUUCCUCCUCACUUCCACUUCCACUCUCUUCUGAGUCAGAGUACAUAUCAUGGGAAACACAACCUUCCUGCCAACAAAAUGCUGAGCUCAUAACUGCAAUGUAAAAACCAAAUCCAAACCAAAGCAAUAAAAAAAUUGGAAUAUGGAACAAGAACAACCAAAUUCUCAUCUUUUUUUUUUUCUUGAAGAAUAUUAAUAUUAUAAAAGACUUAGAAAUAUUCAAUUACAAGGAAAGAAUGUAAUGAGGAUAUAAGGACUCAGCUUAACCGUAUUCAGAUUCCACCAUUAGACAGUAAUAAUCUAGUCACCAUGCGUGCAGGACAACGCAUGAAAAUUUUGACUUAAUGGUCAUGCUUACUCAAAAAUAACAGAGAGAAAUAAAACAUAGUCCAAACUAAAGAUAAAGCCUUAUAGCUCAUAGAUUUAUGGCAUACAUACUUUCCUGUAUAGUGAAUAAAGAAAACCAUAUUAGAAGCAAUUGUGAAAAGAAAACAGUAAUUACAGCUUACCCCAAAUAUUUUAUCAUACUCUUCCAGUAGUGUUAUACAAAUGGCUUGAGCAUGAUUGGCUGCAGCAGCAGCUUGCAGCAGUUGCAUUGAGCCAUCACCACCCACAUCAAAAUCGCUUUCAAUCUCACAGUCGCCGGAUAGAAGCGGGCGAAGAAGCAAGGGUGCCAUGCAUGCUGCAACAGCUGAAGAGCUCAUUCGAUUUUCAUUUUUAUGAGAAGCCACAAUUUGCAUCAUAUUUAGAAUUCUGAAAGAGAGAAACAAGAAAAGAUAAGUACGGAUAAGCAGGUAGAAGCCAAGAUGGCAUUCUCAAGGGAUGUCACACAUAGUUUUCAAAACUUAAACUUAAAUUCUGAAAACUAACAGAACAUAUAGAGAUACAUUCUGCUUUUGAGCACAUUAAAUUCUGGUGUGCUAGGAAUAUUGAUUGCAGUUUCUAUAUUUAUGUAUUCUGCAAGAUACUAUAUCAUAUCCCACUCACCCCUUUAGCAAGGACUGAGACAUAUAUCAGAGGGUUACGCACCAGAAAAAUUGUUGUACCAACAAGUAAUUGUGGAUAACCAACCAGUUUAUACUCUGUACAGAAAGGGAUUAAACAAGUGUGAAACUUCUUACCUCUAAUUUUCACUACACUUGUCAUUCUAUAUCUAUAUUCAUUCAUAAUUUAAUUUUAAUCUAAUUUUCUAAUUUUAUACAUGCAUGGACGUUAACUAUGCUUGAUCUUUUUUUUAACUAUUCUGCUUAUCUUCUAUUAAUAGUUUGUUAUUAAUAAUUGUAUUGUAUAGGAAAGACCAGGUUAACUGCAAACAAGAGUUAUGUUGCAUAUCAUUUAAAACCAUAAUAUAAAUAUACUUAUUUUAACCGCUAUAUGCAUUAACAGCUCUCUUUUAAUUAAUAUCCAUAGUGCUCAGAAAUAAAUGCAAAAAUUGCAUACGGAAUAUAAUUUGUACUAAGAAAAGCAUUAUACUUAAAAGGGCAAGGGCUGACAGUGAGAGUCGGCUACCUCUGUAAUAAGCGACGGUUGGGCUCAGGAAACGUAUCCAAUACUGCCAUACGCAUAGCAUUGACUCUAGCACUGUGCUCGGUUCCUAAUCAUUGUAUGAUGUCCAAUAACAGAAUAACAAAUCCGAAUCUUCAAAAAUCAUAACGCUUGGGUAAUAAAUCAUCCAAAAAGCAAAGUCAUAGAGCUCAAAAAUAUGCACCCAGACAAUUUCCACUGCAUUCCUUAGGGAACCAACCAGUUCAGAAUACAAGAACUUCACCCAAAGGAUGCUGAGAACUCAGCAUAUCAAAUUCCUAUAUUUACUUAAGAUUAAUGAAUUGUAAAAUGCAGGAUAUUUAACUCUAAUAAGGAUUACCCAACAAAGACUUACUUUAAAAUUAGAGGUAUCAAGAUCCAAUUGUGGCAAAGCAUCUUAUGGCCUCAAUUUAUUACAAGACCAAAAAAAAAAAAAAAAAAAAAAAACCAAAAACCAGUUCAACGAAAGACUUACGGCAUGCUUCUAGUAGCGCAUUGCAGCAUGAUGCAGGGACAGGAGAAGAAGGCAACUCUCGAAUUACAUACUGAACAAAUGGCAUGAAGCAGAUUAAGCAACAAAAUACCAGAAGUAUAUGUUGCAACUUCAAUGAAAGAAUCUUGCAGAAACUACAAAUGCAUACCUUGACACAGUCAGCAAUGACAUGUGCAUCCUCGUCGGGAGAAAACUCAAUUUUUCCUGCCAAAAGAAAAGCAUCACCCAAGAAAGAGUUCAAAGACUAACAGAGGGCAUUGUAAUGUAGAAUUACAAGCAUAAAAGUAGCUUUGACUUCUUGCUCUGUCCUAUACAGUAAGAAAGGAAAUUUCCUUACAGUUCAAAUUUAAAUACUUAUAAUGCUACCUUCGAUAGCAUUGUUUACAAGCAAACAUUAAUUAUUGAAUGUGCAAAUCCAUUGUACGAAAAGAAUAGCGACAAGAAAUUAAAAAGAAAAAAUAGAAUACUGAAUAUAGUCAAGGAAAGCAUGUUUUGGACAAACCCUGUUCAUAUUCCCGAAUUCUGCGCUCAACAUCUUCAACAUCUGCAGCCUGCCGUAAGAUCCCUUCUACUUUGACUCCUGUGAAAUUAUUUUAACAAAAGUAGCUCAAUGAAAAUGAAUAACAGUGCUAUGUCAUGUGACUUAAAUCACCGAAAGUAACAUCACACGCACAGCUUCUGAGGCCACUAAAAUUGUGAACAAUGUGGAAAGUUCUUGAAACAAAGAUAAAGAAAACGAGACAGAAGCAGUGGUGCAGCCAUGCAGGAACCUUAUCCAGAUUAUGGAUAUCUCAAAAAAUUAUAUGAAUAAAAAAAGACAUGCACAUAUAUUCACUUGACUAUAUAUGCAUUAGAGACAGUUACCCGGUAUAUGGAAUUAGAGAUUUAGCACACUACUUAAAUGAGAUUCCAACAAUUAAAACAAAAGAAUAACUCACCAUGCUCUUCUACAAAUCUCAGGGCCUUCUCCAAAAAUGUUGGAGCUCCAUCAACAUCUUCCAGUGCAAGUAAAAUUGGUCUGUGUAAGACAGAGGAUCUCACAGGCUGUUUAUCAUUCACUAACAAAGAUAAGAGGAGAGCAUCAAUAUCUCAUAUAUGAGGAAAAAUAAAUCAAAAGAGCCAACCAAGUUAGAGCCUAGAAACAACUUGACAAACUUGUAAAGAAAAAUAACAAGAUAAAGAAAGGAAAACUAGAAAAAAGGAGGGUACCUAGAAGAAAAAAUGGAAGGAACUACCAUCUAAGGCUCCGGAUUAGUAACAUGCUUGAACUUUUAGGAUAAUGAACUUAUGUCAUGCAUUAUUUCUGAUGUUUAAAUUAGAAGCAACAUAUGAAUGAAGCCCUGUACAUGUAUCAUUCAAAGUUGCACAAAAUUAAAAAAAAAAGUGGUGCAGUAAACUUACCCGGUUCCUUAGAACCAUCAACUGCUUCUGCCUGAUCAUUCCCAAAGAUGCCAUUUUGUCCCGCUGAAAGAGCAGAACUUGGUGCUUGUGACAAAGCUUUCUCAAGUGCAGCCUUCCACUCGUACAAAUCGUCCAAAGUUUCAGCCUGCAACAUCAACAAAUGGAACCUGUCAUGUCAUAUGAUUUCCCAAAAUCUCACUGUUAUUUUCAUUUGAUUAAGCAUUUAAUUUUCUGACAACAUCAAACACAUAAUAAGUACAUUUCUGCCUUCAAAACCAGUAAUGUGGCAAAAGAAAUUCUUAAUAAAGGGUUUCAAAGGACAAAAGAAUGCUAUCAGCAGGGCAUUGAGUGAACUACUUGUAUAAAACUUCUAUAUACCAAAGAUGAAAUUUUCCUGUUCAGGGCAUUCUGUUUACGCGGAGGUGUUUGUCACUCAGAACCAAGUCUUCAGCUUUUCAUUAAAUUCAGCCUUGGUUAGAUUCAUUUGAUCAUCUUUAGGUGUGAGGAAGAUCUUUGACUGUUUUGGCAGAAUCUUGAUAUAUGCUGUUCAAAUAGAAAGCUCACAACUAUUUAUCAAGCAAAGGAAAAUGUAAAACCAAAGGGCCGCGAAUCUGAAAAUCUGAUUAGUUUUAGAGGAAAGUAUGAUGCAAAAAUGGUAACAAAAAAAAAAAAAAAGGAAUGAAAGGAGAAAUUAUAGAUGAAUGGGAUGAACAACCUUGAGUGUGAAGGUUCGUCCAUCGCGGCCAUCUUGAAAUAGUACGGUUAUGAGUUUUUUGUCAGCUUUGACAACCACACUAGAAAUUUUGAAAGGUACCACGAAUUAGUAAACAUUUCCAACUUUGAUGUCAUUCACAAUUUGGAGAAGAGAUCACCAAUUAAUAAUUAAUCUUUUCAGAAUGCAAGCCAACCUGCCUGAAUUGUUGAGAUCAAUACCACCAAGAGUUAAAUUCACUUCAUUCCCCUUCUGAGAAACAGCAUUCUGGGAAGUUAACAAGAGUAUAUUAGUCUUCUAAAAUCAUAAAGUACACAGAAUGCAGCAAGAGAGAGAGAAAUGCACUAGUGCACAGAAUGUAGAGAAAAGAGAAAAUAAUAUAGAACAAUAAUAGCAUCCAACCAAUAAAUAUCAACCCAUCUAGAUGUUUUAAUUUGCCUCAAUGAUUGCAUACUUCAGUUCUUCCCCAAUAUCCUAUCCCAAGCCCUUUCCUCAGUUGAAGCAACUGUUAAAUAGUUUUGCUGUUAUUCUUCGAGGUGAAGCUCUCAAAUAACACAUCUUGUAGAAGAGGCCCAUAUGUCUUAUGGUACAUCUAAAUUAAGUUUAACCCAAUUAUAUAUUAGGACCCAUCUGAAGAAUUCCCAUCUUUCCUUUAAUGUACUCUGCUGGAGAAUAAAAGAACUGAUAUAGACUGAGCUAAAAAACCAUAAUUGUCAAAUUAUAUGGUGUUUAAUAACAAUCAUUUCUACCACACUAAAAAUGUACAUCCAUAAAUUGCUAAUGGAUCACUAAAUUAACAUUCAUUUCUUCUUGAUUGGUAAAUUUCAUGGAUUUAUUAGCCACAAUAAUGAUUUAAUUUUAGGUCAGGUUUCCAGAUCUCCUGGGAUUAAUCUAGCAUGAAGGCUUCCGGAUAUUCUUAUUUAGUCUGUCCCAAGAUAACCUAAAAAGUGUAAAAGCAUUGACAAGACCUGCUGUGUGAAAAAGACACCAGAGUCUCAUUUUCAUUCAUCUUUUAGAUUGAGAUAUAUUCUAGCCACUAAUAGUCAUUGACAGAAGAGGAAUGAAACUCAAAAAUCAAAUGCUUCUGACUAAAAGAGAACUAGACACAUAAAGAACCGGAUUCUUCUGAUUGAGAGAGAACUAGGCCAUAUAAAAGAUAACCGUACCAAUUAGUAUCAUCCUUGGGAUCCUAAAGCCUUGUAUAGUCAGAAAAACAGUACAUCAUUUUACCUUUACUGCAUAUUUAUGAUUAUUCAAUUGUUGUGCCAAGAAAACAGCAAUGUUGAGACUGACAAUCUGCCAAAUUGCAAGUACUUACAGGAUCACUUCUGAAGAAAACCAGCGAAGUAUGUGUCAAAAUAAACCACCUUUUCUUCCAUGAUGUCCAUCCAAUUCCUUUAAUCAAAUAAAAAUAAGGAAAGAAAGAAAAGCAAAUGAGUAACUAAAUUAAAUUGCAAAGCAAAGUAACGACCCUCAUAAUGCACAUUUUUCUAGUAAAUAAAAGUAAAACAGUGCUUCACAAAACGUAAAGAGAAAGGCAAAUGAGUAACUAAAUUAAAUGGCAAAAGCAAAGUAUGCAAACCUUUUGAUGAUAGAAAAAGUGGCCCACUCUUUAAAACCUGCGAGAAAGUUUUUACACCUUGAAAUGCACCAACUUUUACAGAUUUGAAAGAUGCAUGCUUAAGAAACAGGGAAUGCAGACAGCGUAAGUAAAUAACUUAGGAAGGUAUAUAAAAAAACUAGUAAUGGAAUUAAAAUACAGGACAAAGUUCAUUCUCUUCCAUCCAAAUUCCUCAUGGUCACUUUGCUUAAUGUGGUUGGUAACAGCUACAAUAAACAUGAUAAAAUCAAAAGAGAAAAACUGCCAUAUAGGCAAUACUUCCACGAAAUGGUUCAAAAGGCUCAAGCACAUAAGAUGUAGAUAAGUGGUAGACAAAGAUUUAUAAGCAAGAUUUAGAUGAUAACAAAGAUGAGAGCAUGGUAAUUUAGAUGGUCAGGUGCAACUUCCAAUCGACAAUUAAAAACUAAGAAUAGUAACAACUCACAAUGGGGGAAGAGCUGUUUGCUGAGUUGCCACUACGAGAAUUCAGAUUAUCCGUUGGACUGGCUGGACCUGGAGGAGCUGCAGCAGUUGAUGCAUCUCCCUUAUGGAAAAACAAAUUUGAUUUUCAGCACAAAAUCUCCACUAAAAUCAGAUUUUUAGCUUUUGUUUUUCACUGAUGGUUGAAACCCUUUCAUUGAAAAAAGAAUCAGAAAAGAAAGCAAGAUUCAUCUACACCUGAUUUCCUUGUGAUGGCUCCCGCUCAUCCCUUUUGGGCAUCAUCCUCUGCCAACAAAAUUAUACCCGAAAAAUCAGAGCUUUCAGUCCAAAAUUUCCAUAAAAACAAUAAUGUGAACAAGAAAAAAAAAAUGUCUACCUGUUGAGCUUGAGAUGGCUCUUCCAUUUUCUGAUUAAAAAAUAAAAGAAAAUAAAGAAUUACUGAACACUAAAAUAUUUCAAAAAAAACUAAUAGAAAACUAAAGAAGAAAAUUAAUAGAAAAGAAAGAAAAUGUAUAUUGAUCAAAACCAGUUGUGCUAGAGACGGCUCUUCCUUUUCGCUAGUCAUUUCAAAAAAGAAAACGUAAAAUCUCUAGGAAAUCACGAUUUUUUUUCGAGUUGAAAUUAAAGAAGAAAAAGAAAUAUAUAUAUAUAUAUAUAUAUAUAUCGAUCAAAACCUGGUGUGCUUGAGACGGCUCUUCCUUUUUGCUAGCCAUUUUCUGGUCAAGAAAAUAUAAAGGAAUUAACGUAAAAUCUCCAUUCAAUCACAUUGAAGCUUUUUUCUGUUUCUGAAUUCUGAACAAUAUAUUCUAAAAACAAAUAGAAAAGUAACAGAAGAGGGAAAAAAAUGAGAAAAUCAAAACUUGUGCUUUAGACGGGUCUUCCUUUUUGCUAGCCAUUUUCUGAAAAUAACAGAAAAACAAAGUGAAAACUCCAUUAAAAACACACAAUGUUGUCCCGUCUAUUCUGCUUCUGAAGACUGAACAUCAAAGCCUUCCAUAAACGAGCUAGAAAUUCAACUAAAAAAACGAAGAGAGAUUGAUGAAAAACCUGCUGUAGCAAAGUUGAUUCAUCCUUUUUGGUAGCCAUAAUAAUCCUCUGAGCUCUCGGAAAUUAAAAAAACCACAUCCCAAACAGUUCACAAAAUCAAACGAUCAGCAGCCUGUGCACCACUCAUCAAUUUCAGCAAUGCCGCUCAUUCACAACAUUUAAACGCACAGAAACUCAAAUUCAAACCAAGAUAACCCUAAAAUAAUCCAAAAAAAAAGAAAGAAAUUUACGUGAAUUUGAAACGUAAUUAGUGGGAAAAGAAGGGAAAAGGGAAAAUGUAGAAGAGAAGAGAAAAAAUGGCGAUUAAGGGAGAAGCGUAAAUCUGAGAACAGAGAGACUUUUUCUCCUUUGGAUCGGAACUCCUUGAGCUGAACGGAAACCCCGUUUCGGUCAAAGCAAAGGAAAAGCCUAAAAGCCCUCCCUCCGAAACCGAAGGGAGCCGUUGUACACGUCUAAUUCUGCGCCUUUUUCUGUGGUCUAAUUCUCUAUUCUAUCCCUAUAUUUUACUAAAACCUAGAAAUUAGUUCCUCUACUUUAAUUUAUAAGAAUUUGAUCCUCCUACAUUAUGCAAACAGAUACGAUAGUUUAAUAGUCGGUUGACACAAGACCUUGAACUAUUGGUAUUUUACUAAUUUAGUACAUAUAAAUUAUUGAACCCUUGAAUUUUACUAAAUCUUUACAUAUAAAUUAUUGAACUAAUGAUGUUCGAGUCAAUGAUUUAAUGAAUGAAUUUAACAACAUGACUUAUUUGGACUAACUUUUCAAUUUUUAACAUAAUACAAGAAGCAAAAUUUGGCAAAUUCAAAUAUAAGGACUAAACUAUAAAUUUUUAUAAAAUAGAGAGGUAGAAUUUAGAUAAUUUUAUUUUUCUAAAAAUAAUUGUUGCGAGGAGGGAGGGAAAUAUGAUGCUCCCGGGAAUAAUUAUAUGCGUUUUCUUUUGAACCGGAAAGCCACCCGUGAAUUGACGAAAUGGGCCCAGCGGCCCAGACGAUUUACGGAAUCGAUCAGGGUUGUCAGCUGAGCUCUGUGGUGUGGGGUCCAACUGGGUUAUGUCGGGACAUGGUGGAUCCAUCAUCAGUUGAUUUGACUGAGUUAAAAACAAAAAGUACAAUCCGUGAUCUGGGGCAUGAAACAUCAGUCGUUUUUGACUGAACCAUUAAUUUUAGUACUCUUUCUAUCUCCUGUUUUAUUCUGCCUUUUGCCUUCUCACAAUUUCUUUUCUUAAAUUAAUUUAUAACUGGAAAAAAGAAGAAGGAUGUGUCAUUUCACUCUCUUGGAAAUGAAGGUAACGUUAUUCCUUUUACCUAUUGCUUGACUUAUUUAUUAUUAAUAUAAUUCUAAAAAUCAAUUUUAUUUUACAAAAUUUUUUUUCUUAUUUUUAUAAAAUAUAAACCUAAACUUUAAACCCAAAUCUUAAAAAUUUUAUUAACAGUACCAAAGUGAAAUCCAAUUAUAGUCCAUCUUUCUUUUUGGGUUUAAUUAUGAGCUCAUUCCCCAUAUUUUUUCACUGAAGUUAGUUUAUUUACUUUUAAUUUUAAAAUUUUAAUUAAAUAAUUUUUUUAUUUAAUAAUUAAAGUUUAAGUGAUAACACAUUCAGAAAUUUUCAUUAAAUUAAAUUAUUUAGCAUUUUAUUUUUAAAAUGGUCACGUUCCUAAUAUUACACACAUGAAAAGCCAAAUAAACAAAUGUUUUUAUUAUGAAUUUAGGGCAACGAGAUUCGUCAACUUUAUUCAAAGAAUCGAAGUAAAAGUUGAUACUUUUUUUUCCCAUAGUUUUCUGCAUGAUUUUAAAUUGAUUGUGUUAUUAAUGCCACAUAAUCCAAUUUAAACCAAUUGGUCAAACAGUUGAACCACUGGUAAAUUUUGUUGUUUUUGCAUUCUUCCUCGAAAAUCUUUUCCUUAUGCGCAAUGUCAUUGUCUUUGAAAAAACCUCCAAGGAAGACAGCAUUGCCUCCAGAGCUAUUUCUAUGGCUAUCGAGUGUCAUGGGCUUUGCGUAAUGGAUAAGAGACCCUCUUACCCCUCCUCCAUUCAGGAGACUUGGUCUUCUCCUCCUAUCAACUAUCAUCAACUUAAUAUGAAUGGGUCUUCCUUUGAAAACUCAAGAGUUGCUGGAGCAGAUACUAUCAUUCGAUAUCAUCGUGGUAAUUGGGUCAUAAGAUGUUAUAAGUUUUAUUGGCCACUCUAUCAAUACGGUUGCAGAACUUAGAGAUGGACUCUACCUUGCCAAUAAUAUGAAUAUUGAUAAAAUCAUUUUUAAACUUGAUGCCUCUACUAUUGUAACAUCAAUGGCUAAAAUGAUAAAAAUAUUAAACAUCAAAAGUUAAAUUUAUCAUUAUACCAAUUAAAAUUAUGAGCAAUUGAUGGAAGACAUCAACGUCGUGAUUAAUUAUCUUUAGUAGUUCACUUUCGAAUUUAACAAUAAUUAAAUUGCUUCAUUUUUUUAGAGCGAUCAAUUUACUCAAUUUUGAAAUUGAAAAGGGUAUUUUUAUUAUGCAAUUUUGAUUUUUGACUCUCUUUUUGAUGACUGCAGGACUACGUUGACAAGCUUCCAAUAUAGUUGUGUCCAACAUAUUUACCAAUAAGGUAACAAAUGUGCUAAUGAAUUAGGUAGAAAAUGCAGCAAUAAUUGUAAAUGUUGUAAUUUUGAUUCUAGGAACCAUGAUGAUGAUUAUGUUGUCUUGUAUAACAUCCCAAAUUUAUGUCUUCGUUUGUGAAAGCAAAUCUUGUUGGCUUUCUUUUGACCGAACUCUUUCUUUAAGUGAAUGUCAUGAUCUCCCUUUUAUUUGACCAAAAAAAAAGCCCAACAUUACUUCAGAGUUCUUCCUUUUUUUAAAGUGAUUUUUAUCAAUAAUUAUUAUGUUAUUUUUUCACCAACGAUUAGGUCGGAUAAAUCAAAAAUCAAUUAUUUAAUUAAUUUAAUUAUUAUCCAAUUUUAACAAUAUUAUACUUCAAUUAUUAAAUUAAAAGAGUAAAUUAAAUAAAUUACUAGAAUUAAAGUAAAUGGACUAAUUUUAAUAUGUGCAAAAAGUACAAAGAUUGAGAGCGUUAUUUAAAUGGCCGAUGGAGUUAAUGUAGCUCAUCAACGGGGUCCAACUUAAUUAAACAAUUAUCAAAAGUUUUUUUUAUAAAAAAAGAAAAAUUAUGUUAAAAUAUUUUUGUUAUUUUAAAUUAUGUAAAUUUUAUACAAAUAUAUAUAAUUGAUAAGAUUCAAACUCAAAACAUCAUGUUUUUAAUUUUAACUUUACCAUUUUGUGUCAUAAACUAAUUAAAUUUAAGUAUUACCCUUAACAAAACUCAGCUUUAUUGUAAGAUAAUAAAGUUUAAUUCUAGUUUAAUUUUAGGUUAAAAUAUGAUGUUAAUCUUUGUACUUUAACAAAAUUUGAUAUUUAAUUUCUAUACUUUAAAAGUUAAAAAAACGUAAACAACAUAGAAAAUCACCAAAAUACCUAAUGAUUGAACUAGUGCCUAAAUACAAUUUUUUGUGCUUGCAAUGAAUUUUUUUUAUAGUUGGGUGACAAUUUAUGUGGUUUAAGAAAGAAAAAACCAAUCCUCUUGCCGUUUCAAUUUAAGAGUUUUAUGUUUUUAGUCAAACAAUAAAGUCUAGUUUAAAACUACUUAUUAUUUAGAUUAAUUAGAGUUGCAGUAUAGUUUUUAGAUGUACUUAGCUAGCCUAUGUAAAAGCCUCUUCGUUGUUCAUUAGAGGUACAAUUGUUUUCAUUAAUAAAUUUUUCUACUCUGGAAGUUAGUUUCUUUGUGCAAAAUUUUUUUCUUAUGAUUUCUAGAAGUAGUUUUCUUCUCGAUUUUCUUCAAAGAAUCGUGAGAAUUCAUUCUUCUUCAUUCAAUUUGUCAAUGAAUUAUUUAUUGGAUACUUAUCCAUUGGUUUAUUCGAUAUAUUUUCUACUAUUUAUUCUAUCAUUUCUUUGCUUAGUUAUUAUUUUGACUAUUUAUUUUUUACUCUUAAAUUUCUUAUUUUUUACUCAAUUUUGUAGGUCUGUCUCUUCUUCUUCUUCUUCUUUGUGAAAAUAAAGUAGAACAUUAGAAAAAACUAGAAAGGCACUAAAGGAGAAGUCUCAAAUAAUUGUAAACCCUCCUCCCUACCAAAAGCUAUCUUGGGGAUGCUAUCAGUUUCCAUGUUUUCAUCUCUAGGAACAUGUUCAAUUGACCAAACUUUCUCAUUUUGUAAAAGUUAUAAGAUACACCUAAUUAAUGCAUAAUUGGAUCCCCUAGAUAAAGAUUCCUUGAUAGUACCCAUGACUUCCAUAUUGUCUUUUUGCACUAAAACCCUAUCAUGUUGUCUACCUUGUGCUAGUGCCACGCCAUCGAGUAUCCCCCAUAGUUUAGCUUCAAAAAACUGAACAUUUCCCCAAUCUUCGAUUAUAGCCAAGUAUCCAAUCUCUAUUUUGAUUUCUCAUUACGUCACCUAUCGCAGCGCAACCUGAGUUGGUUUUAACAGCUCCAUUGGAUCUUAUGUGGAUCCACCUUUCUGCUUCUGCCAUCUCCGCUUUCAAGGUAGGUCUAAUAGUAAUGCCUCCCUUGCAAGCUGUAAUGCAUUGAUUAUCCCAACUGUGCUAAACUUUGACAAUCUCAUCUGCACUCCACGACACCCUAUUAAAGGUGCAAAUAUUCCUGUUCUUCCAUAUCCGCCAAGCAACAAGGCCAAAGAAGCAUGACCAAUCGACAUUCCUCCAGAUUAUGUUGAGUCGACUUUCCAAAUUAGACUCAUUCCAUUCCUGCAAAUUACGUAAAAAGAAAAGGGUUAGUUUAUGGGGGGAUGAUUAGAUUCCAUACGUUACUCGCUGCAUCACAAUCCCUUAAAACAUGUAAUACAUCCUCUGUUUCAUGACCACGAAUUAGACAUCUAACAUCAGUACCCACACCAUGCCUUAGCCGUUCUACUUGAGUAAAUAACCGUUGUUUGAGAGCCAACCAAAAAAAAUUUGCACUCUUUAAGGUCCUUUAACCUUCCAUGGCAAAUUCCAAGCUUCCUUCCUAGGAUUCCACAAGCUCUCCUUAAUUUUACGAUAAGCACUUUUAAUAGAGAAGCAUCGAGAAGAGGUUCUCAACCAAGUAAUUUCGUCAGGCUCUUUUGCAGGAUGUGGAGGAAGAUUACUAGUAAUGUGCCUAAUUAAAUCUUCAGAAAGCCAAACCUAAAAAAGUUUCAAAUUUCAUAUUCCUUCAUAUGUAAUCAUCUCCCUUAAACAACAAUUUGUGGCAAUAUUGGCACUAGCUAGGAUAAGGUUAAUCAUUGGGUCAAUCUCCGGAAUCCAAUUAUCCCUCCAACACUUAAUGGAGUUGCCAUCUCCAACUAACCAGAAAAUAUUUUCCCUAAGCAACGGCCAUACCUUAGAAAGAGCUCUCCAAAGAAAUGAGCAAUUACUACGAACGAUAUUGAGGGGUAUGUCAUCCUUAAUCCCAUACUUCGCACGUAGCACACAAACCCACAAAGUCUCUGAACUUGACAGAAUGUUAAACCCCAACUUUAAUAAAAAAGAAGUGUUCUGAUCUUUCAGCUGCAGGAACCUAAGCCCUCCACGAGUCUUUGGCUGACAAACAGAGUUCCAACUAACAAGGGUCAUUUUUUUAUUCCCUCCCGACGGUCCCCAUAUAAACAAUUGAACAAUACUCUCAAUCUCGUCACAAAUACCUUACGGUAUUCUUAAGGACUACAUGAAAUAACUAGGUAUUAUAAAAAGGACCGACUACACUAAGGUAACUCUACAAGUUAGAGACAAUUGCCUAGCAUUGUAUCUCUUUUUGGGUCUUAAUAAUUGCAUGUCUAUUGUUUUCAUGUUAUCAUGUUAUCAUUUUACUGAGAGUUCUUAAAUAAAUUCAUGACAUAAAGUAUUUAUGAAAAAAAGCUCACUUUUAAGGCUUUUGUAAAAAAAUUGAAUAUUUGUAUAAGUUAAAAAAAUUAAUAAACAAAUUUUGAUACGUUUUUUUGAAGUUCAAAGUAAAAUAAUGAUACUUGCAAUAACUUCUAAUCACCUAAUUUAGGUCGUGGAUUUUGCUCCGUAUCUUCCCACGUAAACUUCUCCACCGUGUACCAGUAUUACAAUCGUGACGCGACAAGCUAAGCUGAUAAAAAGCUACUCUGCUUUUUAUAUCCCAAGAACAGUAUCCUUAGGAAUCUUUGAAAAAAUACAAAGGCUUUCCAUCUGGUAAAAAACUUUGUAUAAGAGAUGUUUCUGGCCCUGGUACUAAGGUUCCAAAAGGUGCUGGUUGCAUAAUCAUUUGAGUAGAAAAAACCGGAGGAGUUGGAAGUUGUUCUAGAUGACUGUGAUCAAAUCUAAUUUCACUGGUUCCAUCAGCCUUUGUAGUAAUCUGGCUUUUUGUAGAUCGAAUUGGCUGAUUAUGUUGGUGGAUCUAUUCAUAAUUAGUUACCCAUUUUUUAGGCAGAAGCUUUAAAAGCUCCUGUUUGGGUAUCUGUUUAGGCACAUGGAUACAGUGUGGCUCUUCUAUUAUAUUUACGGAAAUGAGCAGAGAAUCUUCAGAUCCUUGGUUUGUCAGCUUAAAUGCAUGAUCCUGAACCCGAUACACUAUUUGGUAGUGUAGAGUUGCUGUGACCGCUGAUUCAACCAUUUCAGCACUGAUGAUCUGAAUCUAGACUUUAAGAGCGUCCAUCAGAUUUGGGUCUUGAAGAGACAUGGUGAAGUUGGGAAACAGAGUCACCAUAGCCAUGCUUGAGCUUAAAGUAGCUUCAACAUUUCCUAUACAUGCGUCUUGAUAACGCUUGUAUCUGGAAUCCAGGAGAGCGAUUCUGGAAACAACAGGUUUUCCUGAGGUUCCAUGAUAGUUUAAAGCUAAUCGACCUGCUCUAAAAUGGAUAUGAGAAUAUCCAUGUUGACUCCAUUCUUAAGAAAAGUGAGAGGGUAUCUCAAGUGUAACAAACUGUUCUUCCUGUCCGCCAUAGAUUAGAUGUUUAUCAAAUUUGGAAGACUGGACAUAUUCAUGGACAUUUUUUCUUCUAGUGGUAAUUAGGACUUAAUACUUUUGAUUGGAGAGAAUGAAGGUUUUUGAUAAGCAGAAUAUGGAUUUACAAGAAGAAGAUUUGUAGCUUGAACUUUUUCUUCUUCUGUAAAAUAUUCUACUUCGUACAAAGAAGAAAUUUUUUAGCAAAAUGAGAUCGAAACGGAGACUCAGGUAAAGAUCGGGGUGCUUUAGUAGUAGACAUUCUGGGGGAGUCCAUUUUUGGAAAUCUCUCUUCCUUUCUGAAUAUUAUUUCUCGUAUGGAAGAAAAUCUGCUAUCUACUGGCUCUAAUACCAAGAUAAGUAGAGGAGUAAGAAACCGGGAUAUCACAGAUUAAUGGAUCAUAACAGCGGGUAUGAUAUACCAAAACACAGGCCUUUCUCUCUUCUUUGGCCAUUAACAAGGCACUGCCUUUUAGCUGUUAAUCACAAUUAAUCCGGACUACUUCUUCAAACUCAUCUGGACUUAAUGAUAUCUUUUAUGAGGUUUAAUUUCUGAUUUGCAAGAUCCAUGGAUAUGGCAAACACAGAGCAUACUCUUAAACUCACGAGAGAUUUUCUUUCACAGAUAUUUCAUAUUCAGGCAGGAAGAGAUUAAAAAGAUUUAGUAAGACAUGGUUUUUAGAAACACACUAAAAUUUUAUUUCUCAAACUGGUUCUGCCUUUCUACAACUAAUUUUUCUCCUUUAUAUAGAGAGGAAAAGCUAAGUAAGUAGAUAAAAGAAAAUCUGCUUUUCUUAUAAUAAUUCAUAAAAGAUAAGACACGACUCAGCAAACUUUUACAAAAGGUAAAGGACAAUAAUUUACAUCAGGACAAAAGAGAUAAGAAGGAAUCUAUUUUAGCUCAAUGAUAGAGUUUCCUCUGUGUCAUAGUCAGUGUCUAUGUCAGAGGUAAUAUUAAAUUCUUCUAUUUUCCUCUUUUUUUCUUCACGUGCUCUGUAACUUUUCAGUUCCAGCUAUUCAAUUCUUUUUUCAAUGUCAUCAGGUGGUAUCACAUCAUCAUCAUAGCUGGGAAGUAAAGUGGCUUUUGAUUUCCUAUUUGAUUUUUGGCUUGAUCCUGCUUCAUGUAUAUCCUUCCAUGCUGGUGUGUCUUGCACUGCCUGGCUGCAAUACAUGGGAUAGUCUUGAGACCAUUCUUUUGGAUCUGGCAUGUUGGUCCAAUAUUCAUUCAAGGCUUUCAACUGUUUCUGAUAAGGCAUCGGUAGAUUUUUUGAACAUCCCAUAGUGCCUGUGAUGUUCCUGAGGGCCAUAUCUCUGAAGGGUUGAUUUUAUUGAUCUGGCAUAAAUAUUUCUGCAAAUUCUUGAGAUCAAAAGGAUUUUCGUAAACCUCUUUAAAAUAUGUUUUAUGGAUCCAGAAACCUGGAAGGGCGGCUAACUGUGUAGCUGGUCCAUGCUGCAUAAAAUAUUGAGGUUUAUAAAAAAUAAUUACUAUCCAUUGAACACGUGUGUUUUUGAGAAACUCAAACAUGAGCAUAUCAACCCAGUGUUCUAAAUGAUAAAACCAUUUUAAAAAUGUGGCCAGAUUCUUCAUUUCAAAAGCUUAUUCAUUGUGGAUCGCCAUUGUUAAGAAAUGUUGGAGGUCAUGAAUAAAAAACUCAAUCCCUAUAUGAAAGAGAUGGGUUAAAUACCAUAACAUCCAUUUUAACUCUUCAGGAAAUUCUCCAAACUGAAACUUGAUUGGGUUUAUGAAUAGAUAAUCAGGGUGAAGACCCAAAGGUUUAAGGAAUAAUCCUCCAAAGUUUCUGAAAACAUCUAGUUGAUAAGAAAGCAUCAUAUUCAUGGCUUCUUUAUGGAACAUUUUUUCUAGGAUUAGACUCAAAACUUCUGGAGGGUGAUCAGGAUGAGAAUUUGGGUUAUAUGGGAUAGAAAAUGGUGAAGGUGGUUGUUGAGAUUGUUUCUUUUUUUCUUUUCUUUUGGAGGAAGAAGGUUGGAUCAUGAAAACUUCAAUUGGUUUAGAAACGGGGAUAUCAAGUGGUUUUGUUUCAGGUAGUCUAGUUAAGAUGUCUGCAAGAGCAUUGGCUUUUCCUUUAAUAUGAACGACAUCAAAGGAAAAUCUAGAAAACCAUUCUGCCCACCGGAGAAGUUGGGGAUGUGGUACUUCUUUUUGUUUGAACUGCAACAUUUUUGGAAAAGAGGACAUAUCCAUUUCAACAAGAAAGCGAUAUCCAGUUAAAUGAAACUGGAAUUUAGUGAUUCCAUAUUUGACUGCAAGAAUUUCUUUGAAGGUUGAGUGAUAAUAGAUUUAUGCAUCAGUGAAUUUUCCUCUCUUGUACCCAUAAAGACGUCUUUUCCCAUUGUUUCUUCAAAUAGAAGUGCUCCCCAAUACUUGUCACUUGCAUCUGUUUGCAAAAUUCUUUUUUCUUUUGAAGGAAUCUGCAAUGGCGGUAGAUGAGCUAUUUUCUCUUUCAGUUGCUUGGCUGCCUUGGUUUGUUUGGACUUCCAAGGAGGUGGAUAUUUCUUUAGCAUUUUUCUCAAAGGAUUUGUUAAUUUUGCAAUCUUAGGAACAAAGUCUCUAAGAUAAUUAACAAUUCCUAGAAAUUGUUGAACCUGUUUCUGAGAGAAAUUGCUAUCUGGAAAUUUCUUUAGCUCUUCGGUAAUGUUUGGAUUUGGUUGAUAUAUUCCUUCUUUGAUUAUCAUUCCAAGGAAUUCUAUUUCUUCUUUGUUGAUUAGCAUCUUUCUUUCAGAUAGCAUAAUUCAUUGGUCAAAGACAAUUUGCUUAAAUUUCUCAAGAAGGGCUACAUGGUCUUCUUGGUCUAGGCUGUAGAGUAAAAUAUCAUCAAUUUAGAUUAAAGCCUGAUCCAUGAUGGGUUGGAAGAUUUUUAUCAUGGCCUUUUGAAAUAACGAUGGGGCUGUCUUUAGUCCAAAAGGCAUAACAGUCCAUUGGAAGUGCUUGUUUGGAAUACAGAAUCCUGUCUUAGGCCUAUCUUCAGGGCUUAUACCCAACUGCCAAAAUCUUGCUUUCAGAUCAAAUUUAGAGAAGAUUCGGGCAUUUGCAAGACUUGAGAACACACAAUUCUUGUUAGGCAGAGGGAAUUUAUCAUCUUAUAGGAAAUGAUUAAGGGGCUGAUAAUUAAUUACCAGUCUUAAUUUUCCUCUAGCCUGUUCAGAUAUUUUGUUGACAUAAAACGCUUCACACGCCCAUUGCGAAUCUGAGGUUUCAAUCAAUCCUUCUUCUUAUAAUUGUUGGCAUUCUUUUUCAGCUAGUUUGAGGUGAUCUAGAUUCAUUCCCACAUGACUAGUUUUCGUUGGAUUGAUAUCUUCGUUCUUCUUAAAAGAAAGUUUGAUGAAGAAUUUUAAAUUUUUCCACAAAGGAUGAUUACAUUUCUGCAGGAAUUCUGAAUGGGAUUCUGCACAUGCUUUCUGUUUUAAUUCUUCAACAAUCUCUUGGAUCUUGUCAGCAUCUAUAAUGAAUAGUCUGGGAUAGGUACAUAAGGUUUGAACAUUUGUUUGUACCUUAACCCAUCUGGUAAGAUUCUUAGUUGUUUGGCUUUGGUAUAAAGAUCAAAACCAACAAUAAGAUCUUUUUCAGGAAGCUUGGAGCCCAAUACUGUUGUAGUGAUGAAGCAAGUAGGGAAAAAUUGAAUCUUAAUGGGCUUGCUUUUCAAGUCUGUUGUAAAAACUUUUCCUGAUGCUGAGCUGAAGUAUCUAGUGUGAGGUUCCCACCAUUCUUCUGGUAAAACGUCUGGAUUCAUGAUAGAUUCUGCAGCUCUAGUGUCAAUGAAGGUAAUUACAGUAAUUGGUUUACUGUAUUUUCCCGUAUAGAUAGAAACUGGAAUAUGAGGAACCAUUACUUCAGUGGUUGAAAGACUGUGAAAAGGAUUUUGAGAGGUCCAUAAUAGAUAGUGAUAAUUCCACUGGGAGUAAUUCCACUGGGAUUGAAUCAUAAAUUAUUCACUUGAAGUGGUUUCGCAAAGUUCUGAAUCACUAUAUUCAAAACUUUAAAUUGCACAUAUUGAUUGGUCAUUUGGAUCGUCAUCAAUAGAGAACAAUGACUCAAUGUCAUCUUCGUCGGUGAUUUUGAUUCCCGAUUUUUGUUGUAUCUGCCGAAUCAUCUUUACGCCUUUUUUUGUUUUUUGGGCAUGAUUUUACAAAGUGACCUUUCUGAUUGCAGAUGUAGCAUCGUGUAGACUUGUUCUUUUUGGAGAAUUUCUUUUUUCUCUUUAGAUAUCUCCAUUUAUACCUUCUAUUGGGAAUUUCUCGAGAAAACUUCUUCAUUUUCUGAAAAUGUUUCUUCUUCUUGGUAGGGCAAUAACAUGACUUAUCUUUGCCACAUUUGAUCUUGAGAUGUGAAUCAGUACAUGCUUUAUCUAAUCUUCUGUCACCACGGAGAUAGUCUUUGAAGACAUUUCUUCUGUUGCAUAGAUCUUCUAGAGCAAUGAAUGUCUCUUGCUGAAUUUCUCCCAUGGUUAAAUUGAGAAUGUUCUUGUUCUGCCUGUAAUUUUGAUUGAUUGCCACUUGAAGAGGAUCUGGCAUGGAUGCUACAACAGCUUGCUUUAGGCUUGGUUCUGACUCAAGGGCAUAGAAGAGCUUCAUCAUUGCAUAAAAGUGCUUGGAUAAAUCUUUCUUUUUGUAAGAACAGCACUUUCGCUUGAAGAACUCUCUUCUUUUGAGUGUCAGUAGAUCAUCACAAGAAAUUAUGGAUAAUCCUUAUUUCUUGAAAAAAGUCUGUCAACACGAGAAAUUGUAAUUGAUUCCCUUGAUCAAUCGAAUUCCACCAGUCUUUUAACAUUCCUGUGAAUCUUGAAACGAAUUCAAUCAGGACAUUGUAAUGAUUUUCCUCUGUCAAUUUUUUGGUUUCCAUCAAUGAGUGGAAUUCUUGAAGCCUUUCUGGCCAUCUGGUUAUUGGGACAUCAUCAAGAGUAAAAACCAUUUUUCCCGUAGAAACAUGAGGUGCUGUUCUGGCACUCGAUGGUUCUCCUGCUUCAGUCAUCUCUUCUUCUGACAUUUCUUCAACUUUAACUCCAGAUGAGGCCAUUAUAUCUGGAGGAAUUUCUUCUGUUUCAGAGAUUUCUGUUUCAGAAUCAUUUGAUAUUUCUGAAUCUUCUGAGAGAGAUUGUGAUGAUGAUUUUGAUAUCUUCUCUGAAAAAUCUAGGUUUGAUUCUGGCUCAUGUAAGACAGAUAUUUUUGGGAGAACUUCUCGACUGAAAUCCUUUAAAAAUUUUGUUAAAGGAUUAUGAGACUGUUCUUCCUUCUGCAUCAUUAAAGAUUUUGACAUUUGUUUUGGUGGAGACGAUGAUGGUGAGGAGAAUUGGCUUUCCUCUUAUCCUGUUGUUUCUCCACUGGUCUUUUUCCCAGAGCCUUUUCUUUCUUUCUUUUUUCUUCUGCAGCUUUUCUUUUUUCUUCCUCCUUUUGUGCCUUGAUCUGUAGAUACAAAUCAUAGGUACUGGGUUUUUUUAUUUCUUGAGGCGGAGGAAAAUUAAUUUUUUCUGUUCCUGAUGAUCUUGGUUUAUAAAGUUACCUUAUGGAUGGGAAAAGUUCAAUCCUAUUUCUUGCAGGUUGUGGCGGUGGUAGCUUCCUAUUUUCCUUAAGAUACUUGAUCUGAUCUUUGAGGUUUUGGAUUUCUUUUUCUCUCUGAGUUAGAUGGGAAAAUAAAUCUUGUCCUGGGGCAGCUGGUUCAGUGGCAACUUCUUUAAGCCUUUUCUGGAAAAGCUUGAUAAGAUUCUUGAUCAUCUCAGAGUUUUCAUCUGUCGUUUUUUCAAUCUUUGACACUUUAGUGUCUAUUUGACUGACUUUAUGGUCAAUCUUUUUAAUUGCAGAGUUUUGGGCCAAGGUAUUUUCUGUCUGCCAGUUCAGAGUAGCUUCUGCUGCUGCUAUUUUGACUUGUCGGCCUUUUGCAUCUGCUUGUAGCUUUGAAGGAAUCUUUGGUGCAUGAAGAUAUUCCUUCUUUGAAAAUUCUUCUAAUGGUGGAAAUUCUUGGUCGUAAGAGGAGGUUGUCUCAUACAUGUGGACUUUUGGAAUUGGAUGAGCAGGGGCAACAAUAUUUUGUUCCUCUUGUCUGCAUGAUAUGAACUGAUUGUGUUUCUGGACCCAUUUGUUGAUUCUUUUAUAACAUGGUUGCUUUAAGGGUUUAUCAAGUCAUUUCUGAUCGGGGUCUGUCUUUGGUGGAGAUGGUGAAGGUACUUGUGGUUGAUCCUGAAUUUUUGGGGACUGUGGCUUUCUUGCAGAAUAGUCUACGAGGUAGACAAAUUUUCUAUUAUCUUCCCCUAAAGGACCAAUAUCUGGAUCUCCAUUCAUCCAUCUUUCAUAGAAUUCUGACUGGAUUGACUUUUUGUUGUUUUUCUUUUUGCAGGUGAGUCGGAUGUCUUAAUCAAGUUCUUUAAAAACAUCAUUUCUGCAUCAUUCGCAAAAGCAAUUUAUAUCCCUAUUCUCCUACUUUAAGGCAAAGCUAAUCUACUCUUUGCUUAUUUACAUUACAUCAUAUGCCAGUUUUCGUUUCAUCUUUGGGUUGUGUACUUAUUAGGAGUAUCACUUUUACAUAAAAGGGUGACUCAAGUUACUUAUUAGUUUGUGAUAGGCAAAGUUCCACGACGACUUAGUGGAUAUAAUGCUAGCUAAGUUAGUAAUUACCGGUGGGUUUGAAUGGGCGGUUUGUUUAUUUAUAGUUAGUGUAAAAAUAACUGUGGUGAUAAGGUUAAAUACUGUAACGUGAGACAAAAAGUAAACUAGACGCAUCGUACCGCAUUCUAUCACCCAUCCAAACCCAUUCUAAAUUUUGAUGAUUCCAAAUUUCUAAUUGGUGUUUGUAACAAUAUUGAAAAGUUAGCUCGAGAUUUCAUUUGGGGUAAAGGGUGAAUACAAAAAUCUUUUAAGGGGUUAAAAAUGAAUUAUAAAUUUUUAAGAUGUCAAAAUAUAGAUUUUUCAUGCAUUAAUUUAUGAUUUCAUUAUCUUUGAAGGAACUAAAUAGAAAAAAAUAUUUUUUAGCGGGCAAAGUGUAAUUUUAUCCUAUAUUAAUUUAUAGGGGACUAAAAUUGUAAUUUUCCAUUGAAGGAGGGCUAAGCCUGUGCAACUAAUGGAGGAUAAACUUUAAAACUAUACACGAACUUUGGUUUAACGUAUAAUUGUAUAUAUGAAUUUUGAUUUUGUGCAAUUUCAUACAUGAAAUUUAAAUUUGAUCAAAUUCUCACAAAUUAUUAACACAAUUAUUGAUGUAGCAUCAUUUUAUAGUUAUAUAUUGCAUAUAGAAAUGAUUAUACUUUCUAAUAUAAAAAUAAAUUGAUGUAUUUAUUUAAAUGUGUGUAAUUGAAUCAAAAUUAAAAUUUUAUGUAUGUAUUUUAAUUACAAUCAAAAUUUUAUGUGUCAAAUUGCAUAUUAAAUUAAAAUUUAUGUAUAAUAUUAACAUUUAUCUCGGAUAAUGAUGAAAAAAAGUGAACUUAAUUGAUUGGAACUCGUGUUGUGAUAAGAUAUUGAGGGGAAAAUACAAACUUAAGUAAGCUAUUCCUAAUAACACUGAAAGAGGGAAUUGCUCGUGCAUUUGAGGCUCACUCACUAAAAGUCUGGGAUGAUGUACGAGAAAAUGUCUAUUGGUCUAUAGGGAAUGGUAACUCAACGUGCCUUUGGGUUGACAAUUGGAUCCCGGACUUGGGCCCAUUGAAAAAUUAUCUCCCAAGGCCAAUCGAUAAUGCACAUGACCACGAAACAAGAAAGGUGGAAGCUGAGCGAAAUUCAGGAUUUGCUUCAUCAGGGAGUUAUUGAUCGAAUAAAAUUGAUGGCUCCCCUAAUGCAUCGCUUAGGGAAGAGAUGAUUAGUUGGAAAGGGAGUCCUUUAGGCCUUCUUAAAAUAUCUGAUACUUACACAGCUAUUACGGAGGCUACCUAGAACCCGCAAUGCCCGACGUGGAAGAAAAUUUGUAGGAUGCAAGUGCCGAAUAGGGUACGUCAUUCCCUAUGGUUGGUGAUGCAUGGCCGAUUGCUUAGGAACGAGACGUGCAACAGAUGCUUUACAGACAGGCCUUCCCAACUGUAAUGCUACAGCAGCGGGCGGAGUAAUUAAAGACUGCAAAGGUAAUUGGAUUGUGGGUUAUAGACGUAGCAUUGGACAGGCCCCGGUAAUGCAGCAGGAGUUACUUGGGCAAAGGGGUUUUAAGCAGGUCUUGCUGAGCGGUUAAUACUUAAUAGCCAUGCCUAGUCGCUCAUCAGGAGCAUUUGUGCGAGGUUGCUAUACAGUAAAAUGGGGAGCUACACAGUUUCAAAUUCACCGGUGCCCAAUUCCAGGUGCAUGGGCAUUACCAUGGAAUGAUGUAGGCGGGAUUGUAGUCCCGGGUCAAUGUAAUUCAUAGUAUCGUUUUAUUCCUAAAAAAAAGGGACUUCUAUUGAUAAGGAAGCAAAAUAGAGGGCAAUUUAUACUACAAUAUUUGAAAAUAAAAAGAGAGAUUGUUCCAGUAAAGCUAAAACUAAUUAAUUUUUUAAAAUUCAAUUUGAAGUGAACUUCUCUUUUUCACUAGAAUUAAGAAAAGAAAAACGUAAAACAACGUAAUAGAUACUAAAAUAAGUUUAAUCAUGAAUUUCCAUUUUCUUGAAUUUUUCAAAAUUUAAUCCUGAAAAUUAGAAAAUAAUAUUGUUAAAGUUUGUUGGAAUCAAUAAUUCAAUAAUUUUAUAUGUAAUAAAUUAGUAAAAAUAUAUGUUUAUACACAACAAACCAACAAAAAAAUUUAACUAAUACGAAACAAAACAUUGUUCUUGGAUAAAUACGUACAGAAGUUGGAGUUUAACACAAAAUUUAAUAUAAAUAAACUAAUAAUAAAUAAUUAAAUAAAAUUUACCAAAUUAUAAAAUUUUUAAUUAGCCCGUGUUGUCGGACACGCAACCCUGUGUUCUUUCUUUCCCUAAUUCUAUAAUAAAUAAAUAAAUUCAAUUACCUCCCUUUUCUUUAAUUUGCGAUUUCCCUGUGAUAGGGGAAUUUCUUUUCUUUUUUCUUUUCUUUUUUAGAUUCAAUAUGGCUUGAAAUCCGGGGAUCUUAGGUGAAUUUUCUUUUAGAUUUGUUUUAGUUCUGGCGAGAUGGAGAUAGAGGUAACGGGUUCGAGCAGCAAGGAAUCGUUUGCGAUGGAAGUAGGGGGGUUGAAGAGAAAAGUUGUGGAAGAGAAAGAUCAGGUUCGUGUUACGAGGAAGACUUUGCAAGCUGUGCUGGAACAGUGCCAAAGAGCUAUCGAAUCGAUUAGUAACAGCGAAGGUGGAAUUGACGAUGACGACGAGGAUGAUAAAGAUGACAUGGAUCCUCAAGGGGAAGCCAGUGGCGUCGGUCUUCAAAGAGAUCAAGAAGUCGACGAGGUUUGUUUUGUUCUUUCUGCUUGUUAUCUGCUUUAGGUUUUUGUUUGGGCGCUAAGGGAAGGAGAGGAAUUCUAAUUGAGAAAACUUACAUAGUAACUUUCUUAGCUGGUAGAAAUAAUUGUUUUUAAUGUUGCUUCCUUGUGAAGUUUAGUUUGUAAUUUGUAUUAACUUAUGCUAUGUUCAGAAGAGAAUUUUGGAAUUUUUAUUUCAUAGAGGUUCAGCUAAGUUUAGUAGUUCAUUGGAGGAUUAAGCGUUUCUUCCAUGAGUGAUGAGUAAUUCUGUUUUGAGUUGAACUCAGCUAGAAUGAGAUAAUUAAACAAUUAUUAUAGCUUAAUGAUAGUUCUCAUUUGUAUAAUGG
RNAcentral lists this long non-coding RNA (27710 nucleotides) under Gossypium raimondii (Peruvian cotton). RNAcentral's name for it is "long non-coding RNA (GRAI_LNC007074)". The record is from RNAcentral. Lineage: Eukaryota; Viridiplantae; Streptophyta; Magnoliopsida; Malvales; Malvaceae.